AGUGAACGCUGGCGGUAGGCCUAACACAUGCAAGUCGAACGGCAGCACAGUAAGAGCUUGCUCUUACCGGUGGCGGGUGGCGGACGGGUGAGGAAUACAUCGGAAUCUACUUUUUCGUGGAGGAUAACGUAAGGAAACUUACGCUAAUACCGCAUACGACCUACCGGUGAAAGCAGUGGAACUUCGGAGCUUUCGCGAUUGAAUGAGCCGAUUUCGGAUUAGCUAGUUGGCGGGGUAAAGGCCCACCAAGGCGGCGAUCCGUAGCUGGUCUGAGAGGAUGGUCGGCCACACUGGAACUGAGACACGGUCCAGACUCCUACGGGAGGCAGCAGUGGGGAAUAUUGGGCAAUGGGCGCAAGCCUGAUCCAGCCAUACCGCGUGGGUGAAGAAGGCCUUCGGGUUGUAAAGCCCUUUUGUUGGGAAAGAAAAGCAGCAGGUUAAUACCCCGCUGUUCUGACGGUACCCAAAGAAUAAGCACCGGCUAACUUCGUG
RNAcentral lists this ribosomal RNA (492 nucleotides) under uncultured bacterium. Its description in RNAcentral is "partial 16S ribosomal RNA". It matches the Rfam family "Bacterial small subunit ribosomal RNA", at positions 29 to 507 of the family's 1533-position model. The record is from RNAcentral.